AAGUGAUGAGGAAACAAAUAGUCUUACUGUAUAAGUGAAGACAUCAGAUCCAACUCUGAUCUUGCUCUGAGG
Molecule: small nucleolar RNA, 72 nt
Filed under: Ornithorhynchus anatinus (platypus)
Lineage: Eukaryota; Metazoa; Chordata; Mammalia; Monotremata; Ornithorhynchidae
Description: Small nucleolar RNA SNORD19 (ENSOANG00000037609.1)
Rfam family: Small nucleolar RNA SNORD19 (bases 1-63)
About the family: Homo sapiens C/D box snoRNA HBII-108: This snoRNA is the human orthologue of the mouse MBII-108 and is predicted to guide 2'O-ribose methylation of the small 18S rRNA on position G683. snoRNA HBII-108 is encoded in a nucleostemin (NS) gene intron like the HBII-210
Source: Rfam by way of RNAcentral